GGUCCAGAGGGCAGCCAGGGAAGAUGAGCUAGAGCUCCCCCUGAUGACACCUAGGAUUUGAGAAAGCCCCCUGGAGAGGCAGUUAAAAGCUUGGUAUCAUGGAGGUGCAGACAGACCUGGGAACUAUCCAGGAUGCAGCAGAAACAUAGGUCAGGAGCAUCUCUACAGAGGGAGAGGGAAGAAGAGCACAAGGUGGAGGGCAGGAAGAGCCAAGGAGUGGAGAGGAGACUGGGGAGGACAUACAUUAUGGCAUGGCUGGAGGAGAGGAGGUGAAGGAGAGUAGACACGUUUGUCACGCUCCUUGGUCAUGAGCUCCCAGACUAAUCGCCACCUAACUGCAUCACAUUUUAAAGCCGAGUUGGACAUUUUAACAGACCGUUCAGUGGUUGACUUGGUCCCUUCCGGGCUAAAGGGUUAUCUCUGGCACUGAGUGGAGUAGGCUGUCUCCCCAGCUCCUUCUGUCUUUGUCCCCUCGGCAGACCUGCUAUGGCACAGUCACUGGAGGGUAGCUGGCUCUGGCAUUCACAUGGUCUCCAGGGUGGGCAAAACCCACACCUAUGGCAAAAUGUGUGAAGGAACACGUAGAGAACGAUCAAUCAUCGAUAGUUAAUCGGCGAGAAAUGCUGUUGAUGGGGAGUGUGACAAAUUCACUCCAGGAUCAGGUUUAAUAAUGGGCUGGCAAAGAAUUUUGGGAAGCUUCUGGCCCAACAGGAGCACUGACAAGGAUGUUCUCAAGAUGAAAUAGUGAUUGGGUGGAGGGGAGGGGGCUUGAGCCUGGGCUCGUGCAAAGACAAACCGGGAACGUGGGUAUAUGUUCAUGGGUCAGCUCUUCCCCCCGUGAAGCCUAAGAUUGGUGAUCGAGACAUGUUUUUACAAUAACUUUUUGGCAUCUAUGUUCACUUUCCCAAGGAAAUCCAGUGUGGAAAAUUCCAGAUGUAAUUAGUUACAAAGUCCUUCCCUCAGUUAAAGAACUCGUUGCAGGCUUCCUUACACGGUGACUGUUAACUUUACACGAAAAUUUAACUCAGGCUCUCAGUCCAUUCCCUGCAAGUAUCAAGUAUCACCUUUACAUGAACUCUGGAGUGGCCCGCUUUCUCUAGUCCCUUCUCUACACAAUGUCUCUGUCUGCCUUUCCCUCCUUUUGCUGGAUCCAGAAGGGUUUGUGCGAGUCAUUUAAAUAUAUUCAGUAUUUCCUAAACAGACUGCUUGUGUGCAAGGCUAGUCACCUCCUUUAUUAGGACAUGGUACUAAUUUGCUCACAAAUAAUCGCACACCAUAAAAGCACACACCGGGCACCCGAUCUGACCUCUUCCACUCCAUGCCAGCACAACAGGCUCUAAACUGCAGCGGCUGCAGAAGCUGAGAGAGAUAAACAGGGUGGCGGGUGGGGAGGAAGUUCUUACUCAAAUCUAAAUACAGCCGCUGCUUGCUGAUCCAAGAGCUGAGAUCACUGGGAGAGAUUGCAAGGAAACUUCUCUGGUGCUGAUUCUUCUGAGCAAACAGGUCUCGGCCUGCUCCUGCCACUCAGGGGACAGGUGAAGAGAGAAACAGAGGCAUGGCCUGUGUAAGAAAACAAAUGCUAGUUUGGGUUUUAUCUUCCAAAAGCAUCGAUAUUUACUACAAAACAGAAGAUUCUUUUAACCAGUCUCCAACACAGGUUGUAAGAAGCUGAGUUAGUCAAGUUCCCAACAACUGCAGGGCCAAGGUGGAGAGGAGGCCCCUUCGGGGAUUUCCAACUCACCCAAGGGCACGUUCGUGUACAGAGCAGCCAGGAGGAGCCACUUGAACCCACUCACGAUGAACUUGAGCUGCAGAACCUAGAACAAGGGGAUCACAGAGAACUGUGCGGGAGAAGGCCAGACAGAUCUCAUCUGGAAGGUUCCUGGUCACCCUAUUUUUAUGAUGUCAGAGGCUGAAAAUCUACGAGAGAUGUCACAGCCACCUUCCCAGCAGAGGUAAGGACAGAGGACACAUGAGCUGGCAUUUCACUCUUCUGCUCUGCCAACCAGGCCCUCUGGAUGACACUUUCUCAUUAUCACAAAGGCCCUGAAAAACAGUUUGACUUAUCAACAAACCCAAACUCAAAUCUAAUCCUUUCAGACUCAACCUGUGUCCUGGCAAAGCUCUAACCAAAGCAAUCCUUGACCUAGAGCAUGGGCGCCUGGCGGGCCCUCCUCAUGCUUGCUGCUUCUGUGUGCCUGUCUACAGUGUUUUGCUGUGCAAAAGCUACAUGUGCCCACCAGGAAGGCAGCUCACGCCUCAGUGACGCUGAGCAACUUUGCAGACGGCGGCUACAACCCACUUUCUCCUCCUAGGCUCCUCCAGAGUGAGGCCAGCCCAAUCCUGUUUGAAGUUCUGGCUGCCAGGAGAUGGCCGUUUAUGUCCCCUGUCUGAGGACAGGAAAAGGACUGAGCCGUGUGCGAGGGAGAGAUAAGAGCUGAGAUUUCUGUCCUCAGCCCCUUAUCAGCCCUUCCUGCAACUUUCCAGAGCAGACGGCAACAUGACAGGCACUGAGCUGAGUUAGCUCGGGAGGCCUGGGCUCCCAUAGCUUCUGAAGAGGAUCAAGGUAGGGAGGGCGUGCCAUGAGCUAAGAGAAAGUUUUUCCUUUAUCUUAAAAUAGUUUGGCUGAAACGAAAUUGCCCUUUUCUCUGUUUAGACACACAGAUAUUGCAUCUGCUUGUUAAAGUGCAGGACAGAUAUGGGUUUUCAUAACUUCCUUUCCGCGUGGAAUGAAGCAUUGCUUUCCUUGUGUAGAUCCCUGCCCAGUUUUGUGUUACCAGCUCUUGGGCACGUAGCACAGGGCCAGCCAGUGGGGAUCCUCAGGCUGGUGCCUGUAAAGUCCUUGCUGCAGAGCCAAUGUCUUCCACAUGCGUGUGAGCCUCCCCAUCCCCAUCCUGGCUUUCUCAGGCCAGUACACACUUACAGAGGGCUGACAAUUCCAGCCCCAUGCUGAAACAGACCUAAUGAGGCCAUGGGAUACUGAUCUGAAACACGUCACACCAACGAUAACAAGGAUUACACUCUUGGGACCUAGGCUUUCUGAGGAAAGAUGGAGGCGCAACCAUAGCUGAUGAAGAGAAAUCUAGAUUAAGCAGUAAAUAUGCAUAAACUGAAUAGUUCUCCUGACUGAGUAUUGUUGCUAAAUCUUAAAUUUUCCUAUUUUGCUCACAGCGGCAGGUUCUUACCCAAGAACAAUACACUACACAGAACACCAGGAGAAAAACAGCAGUGAGACCUGGUGUUGCACACAGCUGGCCGCUGGGAAGCCGUGGGGUAGGAACACAUCCCCAGUCACCCUGGCAUUAGAAACAGGAGCAUCUGUUCCCUGGCAUAGCUGGAAAAUCAAUCCUCCACUGGAAUGGAAUGCAGCAGGGGACAGCAUGUCAAGCAGACUGCCUAGAACCCGACCACCUUGAAGGACCUCGAGUGGGGAGCAGGUGCAGUUCAUGCCACAGGCAGACAGCUACUGCAAAGACAAGAGAUCGGGGGCUGCCUUUCCCUUACAGCCUACUACAACUCCAAACUACGGAACAGUGAGUAAGAGACUGAAAAACCAGGAGAAAUAGAGCAGACAAGUGGGAGUCAACAGAUACAACUGAUUUGAUUUAAACAAUUCUUAAAAAUAAAAUGAAGCAAUCUUGAUUCUGCAA
Molecule: small RNA, 3650 nt
Filed under: Rattus norvegicus (Norway rat)
Lineage: Eukaryota; Metazoa; Chordata; Mammalia; Rodentia; Muridae
Description: uncharacterized LOC102549097
Source: RNAcentral